CUGGGAAGUCCUCGUGUUGCGCCCC
RNAcentral lists this ribosomal RNA (25 nucleotides) under Pistia stratiotes (water lettuce). The record is from RNAcentral. Lineage: Eukaryota; Viridiplantae; Streptophyta; Magnoliopsida; Alismatales; Araceae.